RNAcentral lists this ribosomal RNA (1354 nucleotides) under uncultured bacterium. Its description in RNAcentral is "bacterial SSU rRNA". It matches the Rfam family "Bacterial small subunit ribosomal RNA", at positions 28 to 1381 of the family's 1533-position model. The record is from RNAcentral.
AUUGAACGCUGACGGCAUGCCUUACACAUGCAAGUCGAACGGCAGCACGGAGCUUGCUCUGGUGGCGAGUGGCGAACGGGUGAGUAAUAUAUCGGAACGUACCCUGGAGUGGGGGAUAACGUAGCGAAAGUUACGCUAAUACCGCAUACGAUCUAAGGAUGAAAGUGGGGGACUCGCAAGAGCCUCAUGCUCGUGGAGCGGCCGAUAUCUGAUUAGCUAGUUGGUAGGGUAAAAGCCUACCAAGGCAUCGAUCAGUAGCUGGUCUGAGAGGACGACCAGCCACACUGGAACUGAGACACGGUCCAGACUCCUACGGGAGGCAGCAGUGGGGAAUUUUGGACAAUGGGCGCAAGCCUGAUCCAGCAAUGCCGCGUGAGUGAAGAAGGCCUUCGGGUUGUAAAGCUCUUUUGUCAGGGAAGAAACGGUGAGAGCUAAUACCUUUUGCUAAUGACGGUACCUGAAGAAUAAGCACCGGCUAACUACGUGCCAGCAGCCGCGGUAAUACGUAGGGUGCAAGCGUUAAUCGGAAUUACUGGGCGUAAAGCGUGCGCAGGCGGUUUUGUAAGUCUGAUGUGAAAUCCCCGGGCUCAACCUGGGAAUUGCAUUGGAGACUGCAAGGCUAGAAUCUGGCAGAGGGGGGUAGAAUUCCACGUGUAGCAGUGAAAUGCGUAGAUAUGUGGAGGAACACCGAUGGCGAAGGCAGCCCCCUGGGUCAAGAUUGACGCUCAUGCACGAAAGCGUGGGGAGCAAACAGGAUUAGAUACCCUGGUAGUCCACGCCCUAAACGAUGUCUACUAGUUGUCGGGUCUUAAUUGACUUGGUAACGCAGCUAACGCGUGAAGUAGACCGCCUGGGGAGUACGGUCGCAAGAUUAAAACUCAAAGGAAUUGACGGGGACCCGCACAAGCGGUGGAUGAUGUGGAUUAAUUCGAUGCAACGCGAAAAACCUUACCUACCCUUGACAUGGAUGGAAUCCCGAAGAGAUUUGGGAGUGCUCGAAAGAGAACCAUUACACAGGUGCUGCAUGGCUGUCGUCAGCUCGUGUCGUGAGAUGUUGGGUUAAGUCCCGCAACGAGCGCAACCCUUGUCAUUAGUUGCUACGAAAGGGCACUCUAAUGAGACUGCCGGUGACAAACCGGAGGAAGGUGGGGAUGACGUCAAGUCCUCAUGGCCCUUAUGGGUAGGGCUUCACACGUCAUACAAUGGUACAUACAGAGCGCCGCCAACCCGCGAGGGGGAGCUAAUCGCAGAAAGUGUAUCGUAGUCCGGAUUGUAGUCUGCAACUCGACUGCAUGAAGUUGGAAUCGCUAGUAAUCGCGGAUCAGCAUGUCGCGGUGAAUACGUUCCCGGGUCU